This 2840-nucleotide long non-coding RNA is filed under the name Homo sapiens (human). Its description in RNAcentral is "non-protein coding LINC00648:10". Lineage: Eukaryota; Metazoa; Chordata; Mammalia; Primates; Hominidae. The record is from RNAcentral.
UUCUAGUAUGUGUGUAUUUUUUUCUUUCUCUAGUGGAGACUUAUUAAAUGAAGAAACCACACAGCUUCCAACUCUGCAGUAGAUCUUGGGCUGUAACUGAUAUUCAACAUUACCAUCCUUGUUGUAAACUGAAUGUCAUAUCCCUCAAAAUUCAUAUGUUGAACCCCUAACUUCCCCUGUGAUGGCAUUUAGAGGACGAGCCUUUGGGGCAUAGUUAAGUUUAGAUAAGAUCAUAGAGGUGGGGGCCCCAUGGUGGAAUUGCUCUCCUUAUAAGAAGUGAAAGACCAAAGCUCUCACUCUCUCCCCACCAUGGGAGGACACAGCAAGAAGGCAGCUAUCUGAUAACCAGGAAGAGGGCCCUCACUAGGAACUGACUGCCAGCACCUCAACCUUGAUCUUUCCAUCCUCCAGAACUGUGAGAAAUAAAGUUUUGUUGUCUAACCCACCCACAGUAUUUUUUACAGAGGCCUGAGCUAAGAUACUUCUUAGUUACGCAUUUUCACCCUCUUCGCCCUUAAACAGCACCUCUGCUGGUCAGGUGGCCUAACUUUGGAAGACUCAGACCUUCAUCUGUGACAGUUCUAUAGUCACAGUCGCUAUGCCUUCUCAGGUCCUGGCUGCUGUAUUAUUACAUUGAUUCUCAAAGUUGUACAAGAGAAUAUCAAAAGACACCAAAGUGGAUUAAGAUUAGUUACUGUUAAAAAUAUUCCUCCUGCUUUACGUUCUACAAGAGCUCUACCUUUUUCCGAAGUUCAGAUCAAUUAUCCCUAUCAGGAUAGUGACUUCUCUUCAAGUCACUUGGGAAAAGUCCCCUGAAGUACACUGGAAGAAGCCAUAACUUAAGUUCAUUGAAAUUUUUGCAGUGUCCCAGAGUCGAUGUAUUCUACCUUUGUCGACCAGAACUUCUCCAUCAUACAGUCCAAACUUGUGGGUCUGGAAAGCACAAACUCUGUAAAUGAGAAACUGGUGAUGAUGUUAAGUAAGUUAUUUAUAUUUUAAGUCCCUGAUUUUAGACUCAUGUAUUUUACCUACUCGGAAAAAAUCAUAUUAUGGUUGUUGAUUUAGAAUACACAUCCUAAAAAGUGACAUCCCAUCUUUGUAUGGUCUCAUGUCUGAGCUAGGCAUCCCACUGAAAUCUUUAACUUAACAUGCCAUUGUUCCACUACGCACCACCCAGCAGCUAAUUGGUCUCCACGCAGAAUGGUGCUAUUAGGGGGACUCAGUGAUUGUCUUGUAUGUAUGGACAUCAUGCAGUAACAGGAGAUAAAUUUGUGUUGGAGACAGGGAACCCAUGCUACUGAAUUUAUGCAUAGUCUUCCUUACAUCACCAUGGUUACCAUGUCUACAUGCACCUCAUGCUCACACUUGGGUUGCGUGAUGGUUAAUAUUGAGUGUCAACUUGAUUGGAUUGAAGGAUGCAAAGCAUCGUUCCUAGGUGUGUCUGUGAGGGUAUUGCCAAAGGAGAUUAACAUUUGAGUCCGUGGACUGAGAAAGCCAGAUCCACAAUCAAUCCGGGUGGGGACAAUCUAAUCAGCUGCCAGCAUGGCCAGAAUAAAAGCAGACAGAAACACGUGGAAAGACCAGACUGGCUAAGCCUUCUGGCCUCCAUCUUUCUUCCAUGCUGGAUGCUUUCUGCCCUUGAACAUCAGACUCCAAGUUCUUCAGCUUUUGGAUUCUUGGACUCACACCAGUGAUUUGCCAGGGGCUCUUGGGCCUUCCACCACAGACUGAAGGCUGCACUAUCAGCUUCCCUACUUUUGAGGUUUUGGGACUCGGACUGGCUUCCUGGCUCCUCAGCUUGAAGACAACCAAUGGUGGGACUUCACCUUGUGAUCCUGUGAGUCAUUUCUCCUAAUAAAUUCCCCUUCAUAUAGACACUAUCCUAUUAGUUCUGUCCAUCUAGAGAACCCCGACAAACAUGGGUUGCUAUCAACUGGACAAAUCAUUGCCAACUAAGUUUUUUAGUGCUUCAGCACUUCUACCAUAGUUAGUGUGCACUAAUGAAUGCAAACAUUUGUAUUACCUAAUACAUGGUCUGGUACAGCAUCCUCAGAUGUGAACUAUGCUGCCUCCUGUAUCCAAAAAGGACUACCAAAUGUUGUACUUCCAUCUUAUUGCAGUGCAGUAAGAAAUAUUUUGUCCUUUAUUUUGUAGAUGUCCCAUCAUGCCCUCAACCACAAAACACCUAAAUUUUACGGUUAUAAUCGCUGUCAGUGGUUGUACGUUGAUAUUCUAUUGUUCCAGCACCAUUCUUUUCCUAUUAAAUUACACUGGCAAAUUUGAUUAAAAAAAACAACUGACUAUAUAUGCUUGUAAACAUUUCCAGAUUAUGUUAUUCUUUUAAUCUAAAUAUGUGUCCUUAUGCCAAUACCCCACUCCAUCUAUUACUGCAGUGUAUGAUAAGUCUUGAAAUCUAGUAGUGUAAGUUCUUCAACGUUGCCCUUAAUUUUUAAAAUCACUCUUGCUAUUUAAAAUUGUUUGUAUUACAUGGAAAUUUUAUAAUCAGCUUGCCAAUUUCUACAAAAGUCCUGCUGAGAUUUUAAUUGGUAUUUUGCUUGUUCUGCAGCUUAAUGCAAGAAAAUUAUCUUAACAAUAUUGAAUUUUUCAAUCUAUUAACAUGUUAUAUAUUACUGUUUACUUAGGAUUUUUUCACUUUUCCUGCCUUGUUUUGAACUGAUAUUGUGGUUUUAAGUAAUUUUUUUUAUUUCUACUAUUGGCUUAGUAACUAUGCCCCACUUUUUGAUUUUGUAGCACAGUUGACCAUUGAACAACACAAGUUUGAAUUGUGCAUGUCCAAUUGUCUAUGGAUAUUUUUCAAUAAAAGUUACACUGAGUGCAUC